UGCAACAACCUUCCAGCCGUUACCCUGUGCAAAUAAAUGUGUUAAAUAACCAUAAUGAUCCUAAAACAGAAUAUCCCGAGAAACCUAAUAACAAAGCAAGCAGAAAGCAGUCAAUUUUCAAAUGAAGUGUCCAAAUCCAAUUAAGUGGGUGGGAACUGAAUGCUAAACCAGAAGCCAAUAAAUAUGUACCUAUGGGGUUAUUUAAGAUUCAUAAUUAAACAAAUUGUCACCAUCUAUUAAAUAUUAAUAUAAAAUCACACUUGCACCUAGGUUAACAUGCAAAUUGUCAUUUCCAGUAAGCCAUUAAUUACAUCCAUCACUCUUCACCACUACUCAAGUAACCUUGUUGAUGUCACACAUUAA
This 363-nucleotide unclassified non-coding RNA is filed under the name Hevea brasiliensis (rubber tree). The record is from RNAcentral. Lineage: Eukaryota; Viridiplantae; Streptophyta; Magnoliopsida; Malpighiales; Euphorbiaceae.